GCUUUUCCGAGGCAUGCUUGGGUAGCCCAAGUUCAUCAUGGCUGACACAAAUGCCCCCUCCAUGUGUUUAUAGUAGAGUAGUUUAUUUGCAUUUAUGAAAUGUACAGCUAAUUAAGAAGGACUAGUACUUAAACAGCUCUUUAAUACUUGAAAUUAAAUUGUGGUUUAUGAAUUUUAAGUCCACAGAACUCCUUGGAAACGCUUCAAAUUAAGGUUACAAAAUCGACUAGCUCUGCACCUGAGAAGACAGAACCAGCCUGAAUAGGUUUUGGUUGUCAGCAGAACAACUUUGUUAUUUGGCGAUGCAGCUUCCUUGUUGUGUCCUUCAAUUGUCCCUUGAGUCUGCCAAGGAUUAUACUCUAUCUAACACAUACAUUCAAAGAUGCUGUCCUGCCCUCUGAGUCCACAUGGAAGUGUGUGUCACAGCUAAAUGGCUGCAGUACCGAUAUCAAGAGGAAGUGACCGGCAUAGCAAGAAUAUUCAACGGAGGGGUGCACCCACCGAUGAGCAGCCAGCCCACUCUUUCCUGCCCUGGCAAUCCGAAGGACACCCGUGGGAGAGAGACGUCAGCGUCACCACAGCCGUCCGCCGCCGUCACCAUCAUCAACACUAACAUCAUCAUCAUCUGUGGAAGUCCCUCAGUGACCACAGCCCAGUGAGCCAGAGCGCAGAAUCUUUCAAGGGGAUCCUCCAUCCUCGAUGUCGUCAUGAAGAUCUGGAUCACAGACUGGAGGCCUCCCGUCAGAGGACUAGCCACAGAUACAGCCAAUUGC
Molecule: long non-coding RNA, 773 nt
Filed under: Sparus aurata (gilthead seabream)
Lineage: Eukaryota; Metazoa; Chordata; Actinopteri; Spariformes; Sparidae
Description: lncRNA (ENSSAUG00010024345.1)
Source: RNAcentral